AUUGUUGCAAACCGCAGACAACCGCUACCAACCGCAAAAGUUGCGUUUGCGGGUGGUAGCGGAAAAACCAGUCGCCCCUUAAUUAAAAUAUAAUAGAUAUAUUUUAGUAUUUUUAUAAUUCCAAUUUAAAAUUUUUAUUUUAUUUUUAUUUUUAUUUUUUUAUUUAUAUUGUUUAAAAAAAAAAUACCCUCCCACAAUCGCCCGCAACCGUAACCAUUAGCUGGAACCAGCUUUUGAAUUUAAGAGGUUUAGAGCAAUUUGAUGUGGUUUAGAGCGGUUUGAAUGAUUGUUACAGCUGCGUUUGCGGGUGAUAGCAGAGAAACCAAUGAUGCCCUAAGUGAAAAACUUAUAGUUCAUAUUUAUGGCAUCAAGACAAUCUAUUAGUUUUUU
This 390-nucleotide long non-coding RNA is filed under the name Brassica napus (rape). RNAcentral describes it as "long non-coding RNA (BNAP_LNC008568)". Lineage: Eukaryota; Viridiplantae; Streptophyta; Magnoliopsida; Brassicales; Brassicaceae. The record is from RNAcentral.